UUUUUUUUUUUUUAACAUUUCAUCAAAACCCCUAUUCCUACCUUACAAAGCAAAGCUUUACCAUUUGUUAACCACUUUUUUUCCACAAGAUAUAAACAACAGAACUGCAACAACUUGAAUGUUUCAUGCCUCUAUAUACAAAAAUCCUACAGUACCUACAUUAUUUGUGCUAAAUUGAUUAUGUUAACUCUAAACUCCACGGCAUAGAGUAUUAAAAAUUAGCAACAAGAUUAUAGUUUCUAAAAAAGAAAAUCUUGAGUGGAAUAGUGGUCCUGUUUUUCUCCCUCGCUAGGUUUGUAUCCCUCAUAAUUAAAUAAAAAUAUAGAUCUUAGUUGAGUCAUAGAAGAGAUAUUACAAGUAUUUUGUGAGAAGGGAGGGGUUAAAUAGAUGGGUUAAGAAGGGCACGAGCUGUAAUGAGCACCAGCUGGGUGAUGUAUAGAAGUGUUGAAUCACUAUAGUGUACACCUACAUCUAAUAUUAAGCUAUAUGUUAUGCUAACUGGAAUUUAAAUAAAAACUUUUAAAAAAGAGUCCCCCCUCCCUCAAAAAGAAUAUUUUGUAGUAUACUAAAGGUAAACUUACAUAUUUUAACUGAGGUACUUUAUGGUAAAUGGUGUCUAAUAUACUGUGGUAUUUACUUUAUGGUAAAUGGUGUCUAAUAUACUGUUAAUCUUUAGAUAAGUAGAAAAGGUAAAAACUGUUCCAGACGACCAGGAGCUGCCCUUGAUUUCACUCUUAGGCCAAGUCUAUUCUUGUUGAUGAGAAAAAUGUCACACACCUCCUUCAUCAAAAGUAAAUGAUAACAUGGGGUGCCUGGGUUGCUUGGUCAGACUCUUGAUUUCAGUUCAGGGUAUGAUCUCAGGGUCAUGGGAUUGAGCCCUGUUUUGUACUCUGGGCUCAGCUGGGAGUCUACCUGAGAUUCUCUUCCUGUCUGCCCCUCUUCCAUUCAUGUGCACAUGCAUGUCCUCUCUCUAGUAACAAACUAUAGAAAUGGUCCUUGAAAGUAUAGUCCUCCUCUCUCUAAAGUAAGUCAGUCCUUGGGGUGCCUGGGUAGCUCAGGUGGUUGAGGAUCUGACUCUUGAUUUUGGCUCAAGUCAUAAUCUCAUAAUCUCAGGGUCAUGAGAUAGUGCCCUAUGUCAGACUCUGUGCUGGGCAUGGAGCCUGCUUGGGAUUCUCUCCCUUUCCCUCUCCCCGUCCCCUGGCUCGCAUGGACAUACAUACUCACAUUCUCUCUCUCUCUCUCUCUGUCUCAAAUAAAUAAAAUCUUUAAAAAUAAAUAAAUCUUUUAAAAAAAGAGUAAAUUUUAAUUGUCUUGGUCCAUGAAGGACCAAGACAUUUUUUAAAAAAAGAUUUUAUUUAUUUACUCAUGACACACACACACACACACACACAGAGGCAGACACAAGCAGAGAGGGAGAAGCAAGCUCCAUGCAGGAAGCCCGAUGUGGGACUCCAUCCCAGGACUCCGGGUUUGCUCCCUGAGCCAAAGGCAGAUUCUCAACUGUUGAGCCACCCAGGUGUCCCAGGACCAAGACAAUUAUAAGGGCAUUUUGUAACCACAUCUCUAAAAAUGGUAAAAAUUAAUGUUCCAAAUCAUAAAAAUGACCAAUAUUCCUUUUUUUCUAAUAUCACUACCUGGGACUUCUUACUAGUAAGUUUAGGUCCAUGACACUGUUUUUAUGUUCUACCUUCUAGAUAACAACAAUUAUAGUUACCAAUGAUAGAAUACAGUUUACCUCCUCACAGCAUUCAAUUCACAAAAAUGUCUUGCUUCCUUGAGUACCAGUUAAAUCCUCCAACACAAGUCAAAACCCUACAAGUCCUUUUGAACAUCAUGUUAAUGUUAUACUCAGUCCUUUCUGAUUUAUAGCCAUUCUUACUAAAAUUCAUUAUACUCCUCUUUGACUACACAUAUACUCCUGCAGGUCACUGGGCAGAGUGCACACACACACACAAUGUGAUUUAAAUUUUUGGUAUUACAAAUGACGAGAAAUUACUUUCAUGACAACACUGUGAAAUAAAAGAAUAACAAAACUUCUUGAGGAAAAACUACCUGAACUUGUAUGCCAAUGUAAUACUCACAAUGUAUAAUAUAUGAUUAAAAGAAGAAAACUGCAGUUUAUCAAAAAAUCCCUAAUAAUAAUGGCACACUUUAAUAUAUCCUCUCUGGGAAAUUAAAAAAUUCAGUAUCUAUUAGCAUUAGGUGGCUUAGAAAAAAGUUAAUUAAAUACUUCUAUGAAACAAUGACAGAAGUGUUCCUCUACAAAAAAUGCACAUACUUUUAACCACAUACAAUCAAAGAUAUUGAUUGGAUAUUGAGGUAUUACAUUUGGGAAGAAGAAACUGGAAAUACCCACAGUCUUUCUGACAUGUGGAAGGUGCUUACUGUCACAAAGAAGGACAAGAUCAAAGAAGCCAAUGUACAAUGUAGUAGAGAAACAAACUCCAAUUCUACAUUUUUACUGCACCAUUGUAAGUGUCAAGGUCAGUCAGGAAAAUACACACUACACUAUUAACAACAUAUGGUGUUUCCUAUACAAAUUAGGCCUUAUCAGGGAUAUAAUCUAGAGGAGGUAGUCAGAGAACACUCCCAAGCAUGAAAGUCUGAAUUCACAUCAUCGCAGACACAAGAAGCCUUAUCAAAAAAAAAAAAAAAAAGAAAAAAC
Molecule: long non-coding RNA, 2665 nt
Filed under: Canis lupus familiaris (dog)
Lineage: Eukaryota; Metazoa; Chordata; Mammalia; Carnivora; Canidae
Description: lncRNA (ENSCAFG00000055606.1)
Source: RNAcentral